AACGUAGGAGGCGAGCGUUAUCCGGAUUUACUGGGUGUAAAGCGCGUGCAGGCGGUUUGGUAAGUUGGGUGUGAAAGCUCCUGGCUCAACUGGGAGAGGUCGCUCAAGACUGCCAGACUUGAGAGUGGUAGGGGAAGGUGGAAUUCCGGGUGUAGUGGUGAAAUGCGUAGAUAUCCGGAGGAACACCAGUGGCGAAGGCGGCCUUCUGGGCCACAUCUGACGCUCAGACGCGAAAGCUAGGGUAGCAAACGGG
RNAcentral lists this ribosomal RNA (253 nucleotides) under uncultured bacterium. RNAcentral describes it as "partial 16S ribosomal RNA". It matches the Rfam family "Bacterial small subunit ribosomal RNA", at positions 524 to 776 of the family's 1533-position model. RNAcentral also lists the same sequence under 1 other name. The record is from RNAcentral.